Molecule: non-coding RNA, 31 nt
Filed under: Mus musculus (house mouse)
Lineage: Eukaryota; Metazoa; Chordata; Mammalia; Rodentia; Muridae
Source: RNAcentral
UGGUAACAGGAAAGCGUCUCCAAAUGCAGCC